This 107-nucleotide transfer RNA is filed under the name Gammaproteobacteria bacterium. RNAcentral's name for it is "tRNA-Phe". Lineage: Bacteria; Pseudomonadati; Pseudomonadota; Gammaproteobacteria. The record is from RNAcentral.
CCAGGUAGCUCAGUUGGUAGAGCAGCGGACUGAAAAUCAGCGUGUCGGCGCUUAGCCGUGCCUGCUUACUUACCGUUAUCGGGCUAAUCGAAUUCGAACCCGCUGGG